Long non-coding RNA from Gekko japonicus, 329 nucleotides. RefSeq lists it as uncharacterized. The record is from RefSeq and is a predicted model, not a curated record. Lineage: Eukaryota; Metazoa; Chordata; Lepidosauria; Squamata; Gekkonidae. The transcript is spliced from 3 exons.
GUACAUAAACUACCCGAGAUGCUCACAGGACUUGGACAUUGUCAGGAGAAGGCAUCCAGGAGAGGAGAAAACAGCACUGUCUUGUGAAAGCGAGCCCACAACAGACUGUCAAGAUGUGCAGUAUGGAUUGCGUGUUCAAUGCGUUACGGUCUGUAUUGCACAUGGUUAAGCGCAUCUUUGACAAGACAAAGGAUCUGUACGAUCACCCCUUUGAGCCACCCAAGCGAGAAUGACACCCGCUCCUUUUCUUUGUUCGAUGGACUCCAUUGCAUCUUCUCUUCCUACAUUGACAAUGCGCACGCAUGUCCCCUUCUUAUCAAGAGAUGUUU